RNAcentral lists this long non-coding RNA (1192 nucleotides) under Vulpes vulpes (red fox). RNAcentral's name for it is "lncRNA (ENSVVUG00000009924.1)". Lineage: Eukaryota; Metazoa; Chordata; Mammalia; Carnivora; Canidae. The record is from RNAcentral.
AGCCCAGAAGAAAAGAACCUCCUGGAAAAUCAGAGGGACUACUUCCUUGAUUUACACUUUUUGAGCUGGAUGGCAAGGAAAAUGAAUCAAUGCCUGACUCGUUAGCACAACACCAUCUGUAGGAGUUCACAUUAAUGAAACCAGAGCCUUCAGCCUAAAGGAGAAAACACAAUUUGAUGAGAGAAAAAGAUGACAAUGAAGAGAGGCUACGGUUUUCUUUGUAUUUUUUUCUUGAGGUUGAGUGUUUUUAUCAGCUGAUCAUUUUCUCUCUGAUUUCUGAUUCUUCAGUGAUUUCAUAUGCAUCCUUCUCUACACUUUCUGUGCCCUGCAUUGCAGUGAUACUUCUGCUUUUUAUGGAACAUUGAACCCAUGGCAUCACACUGAUUGCAGUCUGCCUUGCAGUGUGGUUAGUUUUCUAGGACAGAAUGACAUCAAAAACUCAAUGAGGGUGAAGACAAGAUUUUCCUGGACUUGUUAUGUCCAAAGCACAAUAUACUCUGUACCUCUGUACUCGCAGAUCUCCAGCAAAUAUUUUCUGAGCCUUCUCUAGUUAGAUUGGUGAGAAGCAGCUGUUAUUACAACAAGACUUCCAUCGUACCAGGGAUGUCAACAGUGACGUUACGUUCUCUGGGAAAGGAAUUAGAAGUGGUUUCUGUUAUGUGUUCAAGGGAAACUAGUUUCGUUGAACCUGUUUGCAUAGAAUCGAUCAACCGCCCUCUUCAUGCUGCUACUAAGAGGUUCCCUCCAAGGAGCCUAGAGGCAAAUGCUGGCAGAGGUACAUCGNACCCUCUUCAUGCUGCUAAACACUAAGAGGUUCCCUCCAAGGAGCCUAGAGGCAAAUGCUGGCAGAGGUACAUCGGACUUUGAAGCUGUUGGUGGAGAUGCCAAACCAAAACCACUGCAGUGGCCAGUCUGCAAGAGAUGCCAGCAACACAAGUAGAGCUGGCUCAGAAAUGUGGGAAUAUCCGAAGCCACAUUGAGAAGGGCCGUGUGCACUUUCUGUUAUUCUACUAGAGAGUCAAUCAAAUUAACAUCAGCCCUUGUAAUUCAAUCAGCAAGUGAAGCCUCUGUAUCGUGGCAGAGAUGAUGAGAAUACAAAUUUAAACAGAUUGUUCAUGGAUUCCAAGAAUUCAUUCUCAAGUAAGAAAUUAAAAAAUAUCAUUUAUAACUAUGACAAAAAUAUAAUAGGAGU